CCUACGGGGGGCAGCAGUGAGGAAUAUUGGUCAAUGGGCGGAAGCCUGAACCAGCCAAGUAGCGUGCAGGAUGACGGCCCUACGGGUUGUAAACUGCUUUUAUACGGGAAUAACGCGCCUUACGUGUAGAGCUUUGCAUGUACCUUAUGAAUAAGGACCGGCUAAUUCCGUGCCAGCAGCCGCGGUAAUACGGAAGGUCCGGGCGUUAUCCGGAUUUAUUGGGUUUAAAGGGAGCGUAAGCCGCAUGUCAAGCGUGCUGUGAAAUGUCCGGGCUCAACCCGGGCCUUGCAGUGGAAACUGGCAGGCUUGAGUCCGCGGAAGGCAGGCGGAAUUCGUCGUGUAGCGGUGAAAUGCUUAGAUAUGACGAAGAACCCCGAUUGCGAAGGCAGCUUGCUGCAGCGGAACUGACGCUGAUGCUCGAAAGCGCGGGUAUCGAACAGGAUUAGAUACCCUAGUAGUC
This 460-nucleotide ribosomal RNA is filed under the name uncultured bacterium. RNAcentral describes it as "partial 16S ribosomal RNA". It matches the Rfam family "Bacterial small subunit ribosomal RNA", at positions 338 to 795 of the family's 1533-position model. The record is from RNAcentral.